Molecule: microRNA precursor, 197 nt
Organism: Oryza sativa Indica Group (long-grained rice)
Lineage: Eukaryota; Viridiplantae; Streptophyta; Magnoliopsida; Poales; Poaceae
Rfam family: MIR812 microRNA precursor family
Source: Rfam
AAAAAGACAAACUGUGGGUUCCCAUGCCAACAUUUGACUGUCUGUCUUAUAUGAUUUUUUUUAUAAUUAUUAUUUUUGUUGUUGUUAGAUGAUAAAACAUGAUUAAUACUUUAUGCGUGGCUUAUUUUUUUUAAUUUUUUUUAUAAUUUUUUUUAAAUAAGACAGAUGAUUAAACGUUAGACACGGAAACCAGGGUU